RNAcentral lists this ribosomal RNA (497 nucleotides) under uncultured bacterium. RNAcentral describes it as "partial 16S ribosomal RNA". It matches the Rfam family "Bacterial small subunit ribosomal RNA", at positions 28 to 507 of the family's 1533-position model. The record is from RNAcentral.
GAUGAACGCUGGCGGCGUGCCUAAUACAUGCAAGUCGAACGAACAGACGCGGAGCUUGCUCCUCUCUCGUUAGCGGCGGACGGGUGAGUAACACGUGGAUAACCUCCCUAUAUGUCUGGUAUAACUUCGGGAAACCGGAUCUUAUACCGGAUAAUCUCUUGAACCGCAUUGUUCAAUAGUGAAAGACGGUUUUGCUGUCUCUUCUCGAUGCAUCCGCGCCGGAUUAGCUGGUUGGUACGGUAACGGCCUAGGAAGGCUACGAUGCGUAGCCGACCUGAGAGACUGAUCGGCGACACGGGAGCUGAGACACGGUCAAUACGACUACGGGACGGAGCAGUAGGGAAUCGUCCGCAACGGGCGAAAGCAUGACGGAGCAACGCCGAGUCAGUGAUGAAGGUCUCGGGAGCGUAAUACUCUGUUAUGAGGGAAGAACAAAUGUGUAAGUAACCAUGGAGGUCUUGACGGUAACGAAUCAGAAAGCAACGGCUAACUACGUG